UACGAACCGUGCGAACGUUGUUCGGAAUCACUGGGCUUAAAGGGCGCGUAGGCGGGUUCUCAAGUCAGGGGUGAAAUCUUUCGGCUUAACCGGAAAGGUGCCCCUGAUACUGAGAGUCUCGAGGGAGGUAGGGGCAUGUGGAACUAAUGGUGGAGCGGUGAAAUGCGUAGAUAUCAUUAGGAACGCCGGUGGCGAAAGCGACGUGCUGGACCUCUUCUGACGCUGAGGCGCGAAAGCUAGGGGAGCAAACGGG
This 253-nucleotide ribosomal RNA is filed under the name uncultured bacterium. RNAcentral describes it as "partial 16S ribosomal RNA". It matches the Rfam family "Bacterial small subunit ribosomal RNA", at positions 524 to 776 of the family's 1533-position model. The record is from RNAcentral.